This 465-nucleotide ribosomal RNA is filed under the name uncultured bacterium. RNAcentral describes it as "partial 16S ribosomal RNA". It matches the Rfam family "Bacterial small subunit ribosomal RNA", at positions 38 to 507 of the family's 1533-position model. The record is from RNAcentral.
GAAGAAAGAGGGAGGCGUGCUUAACACAUGCAAGUCGAACGGUGAACUCCGCUUGCGGGGGGAUCAGUGGCGAACGGGUGAGUAACACGUGGGCAACCUGCCCUCAGCUCUGGGAUAACUCCAAGAAAUUGGGGCUAAUACCGGAUAUGACCGCUGACCGCAUGGUCUGGUGGUGGAAAGAUUUAUCGGCUGGGGAUGGGCCCGCGGCCUAUCAGCUUGUUGGUGGGGUAGUGGCCUACCAAGGCGACGACGGGUAGCCGGCCUGAGAGGGUGACCGGCCACACUGGGACUGAGACACGGCCCAGACUCCUACGGGAGGCAGCAGUGGGGAAUAUUGCGCAAUGGGCGAAAGCCUGACGCAGCGACGCCGCGUGGGGGAUGACGGCCUUCGGGUUGUAAACCUCUUUCAGCAGGGACGAAGCGAAAGUGACGGUACCUGCAGAAGAAGCACCGGCCAACUACGUG